AGGUCAUCAUUGAAUAAACUUGCACAGGCUGUUGCUGGCCCUCCUUGGAGGGUAUCGUGCACGCUUGUCAUCUUUAUUUCUCCAACUGUGCACAUAUUGUAGACCUGGAUUUUUCUUUGAAAGUGAUUUCGAGUUGGGACUGCCGUGCUUCUUCUGGUCGGCUUUGCCUCUGUCAGGUCUAUGUCGUUUUUUCACAACCCCUUUGAUGUGUCUAGAAUGUUGAUAAAGUGUUAAAUAAUACAACUUUCAGCAACGGAUCUCUUGGCUCUCGCAUCGAUGAAGAACGCAGCGAAAUGCGAUAAGUAAUGUGAAUUGCAGAAUUCAGUGAAUCAUCGAAUCUUUGAACGCAUCUUGCGCUCCUUGGUAUUCUGAGGAGCAUGCCUGUUUGAGUGUCAUUCAAGUUCUCAACCACAAUCAAUUCGAUGUGGAUUGGAUUGUUGGGGGUGUGCAGGCGUCUUUUGAAGUCUGCUCCCCUGAAAUGCAUUAGUGGUAUCUGAAGCUUACUACAGGUGUGAUAAUUAUCUGCAUCUUAUGGCAAUGCUGGAAACCGCUUCUAAGCCCCACAUUUUUUAUGAAUUUGACCUCAAAUCAGGUAGGACUACCCGCUGAACUUAA
Molecule: ribosomal RNA, 615 nt
Filed under: uncultured Cortinariaceae
Lineage: Eukaryota; Fungi; Basidiomycota; Agaricomycetes; Agaricales; Cortinariaceae
Description: eukaryotic LSU rRNA
Rfam family: 5.8S ribosomal RNA (bases 242-395)
Source: RNAcentral